RNAcentral lists this long non-coding RNA (651 nucleotides) under Homo sapiens (human). RNAcentral describes it as "long non-coding RNA NONHSAT168834.1". The record is from RNAcentral. Lineage: Eukaryota; Metazoa; Chordata; Mammalia; Primates; Hominidae.
GGCACCUCCUCUUACAGCUUUACUCCUGCCAGCUUGGGAAAAGGCCGGAGAAGGUGAAAUUCUGUGUGCUCCCUCCGGCGAGAGACUUUGUCAGCUCCCGCACAGUAACAUCCUGAAUAAAGUCAAAACUCAACCAACAGGUGGAAGUCCAAGAAUCCGAGUGGAGGCUCACCGAGGCGAAGGGGCCAACCAUGGGAAAGGAGAGUGGAUGGGACUCAGGCAGGGCUGCUGUAGCAGCUGUGGUCGGAGGAGUUGUGGCUGUGGGGACUGUGCUCGUGGCGCUCAGUGCCAUGGGCUUCACCUCAGUAGGAAUCGCCGCAUCCUCCAUAGCAGCCAAGAUGAUGUCUACAGCAGCCAUUGCCAACGGGGGCGGAGUUGCUGCUGGCAGUCUGGUGGCUAUUCUGCAGUCAGUGGGGGCAGCUGGACUCUCUGUGACAUCUAAAGUUAUCGGGGGCUUUGCUGGGACAGCUCUUGGGGCCUGGCUGGGUUCACCCCCUUCCAGCUGAACACCACACUGAGGCAGGGAGUUGGCUCUCUUGGUGGAGAUGACUUUCCUGGGCCUCUGGAUGACAAUCUUCCAAAGGACAAGUCUCCUACUCCCAAAACUAUUUAAGGAAGCAUGAAAAAUAAAGAUGCUGGUUAUCUUCUCCU